AUAAGCGGAGGAAAAGAAACCAACAGGGAUUGCCCCAGUAACGGCGAGUGAAGCGGCAACAGCUCAAAUUUGAAAUCUGGCCCCUCCCCCGGGGGGGCCCGAGUUGUAAUUUGCAGAGGAUGCUUCUGGCGAGGUGCCUUCCGAGUUCCCUGGAACGGGACGCCACAGAGGGUGAGAGCCCCGUCUGGUCGGACACCGAGCCUCUGUGAAGCUCCUUCGACGAGUCGAGUAGUUUGGGAAUGCUGCUCUAAAUGGGAGGUAUAUGUCUUCUAAAGCUAAAUACCGGCCAGAGACCGAUAGCGCACAAGUAGAGUGAUCGAAAGAUGAAAAGCACUUUGAAAAGAGGGUUAAACAGUACGUGAAAUUGUUGAAAGGGAAGCGCUCACGACCAGACCUGGUCCCGGCGAAUCACCCGGCGUUCUCGCCGGUGCACUUCGACGGGCUUCCAGGCCAGCAUCAGUCCGCGCCGGGGGACAAAGGCGGCGGGAACGUGGCUCCCCAGGGAGUGUUAUAGCCCGCCGCGCAAUGCCCCGGGGGCGGACUGAGGACCGCGCGUCACCGCAAGGAUGCUGGCGUAAUGGUCUUCAGCGACCCGUCUUGAA
This 602-nucleotide ribosomal RNA is filed under the name Hypocrella discoidea. RNAcentral's name for it is "LSU rRNA". It matches the Rfam family "Eukaryotic large subunit ribosomal RNA", at positions 46 to 658 of the family's 3401-position model. Lineage: Eukaryota; Fungi; Ascomycota; Sordariomycetes; Hypocreales; Clavicipitaceae. The record is from RNAcentral.